GAUGAACGCUGGCGGCGUGCCUAAUACAUGCAAGUCGAGCGAACAGAUGAGGAGCUUGCUCCUCUGACGUUAGCGGCGGACGGGUGAGUAACACGUGGAUAACCUACCUAUAAGACUGGGAUAACUUCGGGAAACCGGAGCUAAUACCGGAUAAUAUAUUGAACCGCAUGGUUCAAUAGUGAAAGACGGUUUUGCUGUAACUUAUAGAUGGAUCCGCGCCGCAUUAGCUAGUUGGUAAGGUAAAGGCUUACCAAGGCAACGAUGCGUAGCCGACCUGAGAGGGUGAUCGGCCACACUGGAACUGAGACACGGUCCAGACGCCUACGGGAGGCAGCAGUAGGGAAUCUUCCGCAAUGGUCGAAAGCCUGACGGAGCAACGCCGCGUGAGUGAUGAAGGUCUUCGGUUCGUAAAACUCUGUUAUUAGGGAAGAACAAAUGUGUAAGUAACUAUGCACUUCUUGACGGUACCUAAUCAGAAAGCCACGGCUAACUACGUG
RNAcentral lists this ribosomal RNA (497 nucleotides) under uncultured bacterium. RNAcentral's name for it is "partial 16S ribosomal RNA". It matches the Rfam family "Bacterial small subunit ribosomal RNA", at positions 28 to 507 of the family's 1533-position model. The record is from RNAcentral.